GGGUUGUGAGGUUAAGCGACUAAGCGUACACGGUGGAUGCCCUGGCAGUCAGAGGCGAUGAAGGACGUGCUAAUCUGCGAUAAGCGUCGGUAAGGUGAUAUGAACCGUUAUAACCGGCGAUUUCCGAAUGGGGAAACCCAGUGUGUUUCGACACACUAUCAUUAACUGAAUCCAUAGGUUAAUGAGGCGAACCGGGGGAACUGAAACAUCUAAGUACCCCGAGGAAAAGAAAUCAACCGAGAUUCCCCCAGUAGCGGCGAGCGAACGGGGAGCAGCCCAGAGCCUGAAUCAGUGUGUGUGUUAGUGGAAGCGUCUGGAAAGGCGCGCGAUACAGGGUGACAGCCCCGUACACAAAAAUGCACAUGCUGUGAGCUCGAUGAGUAGGGCGGGACACGUGGUAUCCUGUCUGAAUAUGGGGGGACCAUCCUCCAAGGCUAAAUACUCCUGACUGACCGAUAGUGAACCAGUACCGUGAGGGAAAGGCGAAAAGAACCCCGGCGAGGGGAGUGAAAAAGAACCUGAAACCGUGUACGUACAAGCAGUGGGAGCCUCUUUAUGGGGUGACUGCGUACCUUUUGUAUAAUGGGUCAGCGACUUAUAUUCUGUAGCAAGGUUAACCGAAUAGGGGAGCCGAAGGGAAACCGAGUCUUAACUGGGCGUUAAGUUGCAGGGUAUAGACCCGAAACCCGGUGAUCUAGCCAUGGGCAGGUUGAAGGUUGGGUAACACUAACUGGAGGACCGAACCGACUAAUGUUGAAAAAUUAGCGGAUGACUUGUGGCUGGGGGUGAAAGGCCAAUCAAACCGGGAGAUAGCUGGUUCUCCCCGAAAGCUAUUUAGGUAGCGCCUCGUGAAUUCAUCUCCGGGGGUAGAGCACUGUUUCGGCAAGGGGGUCAUCCCGACUUACCAACCCGAUGCAAACUGCGAAUACCGGAGAAUGUUAUCACGGGAGACACACGGCGGGUGCUAACGUCCGUCGUGAAGAGGGAAACAACCCAGACCGCCAGCUAAGGUCCCAAAGUCAUGGUUAAGUGGGAAACGAUGUGGGAAGGCCCAGACAGCCAGGAUGUUGGCUUAGAAGCAGCCAUCAUUUAAAGAAAGCGUAAUAGCUCACUGGUCGAGUCGGCCUGCGCGGAAGAUGUAACGGGGCUAAACCAUGCACCGAAGCUGCGGCAGCGACACUAUGUGUUGUUGGGUAGGGGAGCGUUCUGUAAGCCUGUGAAGGUGUGCUGUGAGGUAUGCUGGAGGUAUCAGAAGUGCGAAUGCUGACAUAAGUAACGAUAAAGCGGGUGAAAAGCCCGCUCGCCGGAAGACCAAGGGUUCCUGUCCAACGUUAAUCGGGGCAGGGUGAGUCGACCCCUAAGGCGAGGCCGAAAGGCGUAGUCGAUGGGAAACAGGUUAAUAUUCCUGUACUUGGUGUUACUGCGAAGGGGGGACGGAGAAGGCUAUGUUGGCCGGGCGACGGUUGUCCCGGUUUAAGCGUGUAGGCUGGUUUUCCAGGCAAAUCCGGAAAAUCAAGGCUGAGGCGUGAUGACGAGGCACUACGGUGCUGAAG
Molecule: ribosomal RNA, 1553 nt
Filed under: Escherichia coli N36410PS
Lineage: Bacteria; Pseudomonadati; Pseudomonadota; Gammaproteobacteria; Enterobacterales; Enterobacteriaceae
Description: bacterial LSU rRNA
Rfam family: Bacterial large subunit ribosomal RNA
Source: RNAcentral